CCCAAAAGAAAUGUACCCACUAUGAAAGGUAAAUAAUGAAUAUUUUAUAUCCUAUGAGCUUUUAGCUAGUCACAAGUUUUACAAUUCUAUUUGAAACUGAGAUUUAAAUGUGGUCAAUUGUGUUUAGUGUACACUUAUAUACAGAUUAUGUUACAAAUACUUCUUAUGUGAUAAUUCACCUUGAAGUCUUUAAAUUUUAGAUGUAAUUAAUAUGUUUAGUUUGAAACUGUGUAAGAAGUUUUCAAAAUAUUUAUUUUCAAAUAGGUUCAUUAAGCCUUAAUGAAACUUUUUUGAAAAAAUAUACUUUUUUGCAAUAGGUGUAUCUUAUCAGAAAUUAAGUGGACCUCCUUAAAUGAAUUGAGCAGGUCAACACAAACUAGAAGGAACAAGUCACAGAUGCAGAUUAAGAUGCAUUAUGAUGGAAAGAAAUAUGUACAAGAAACUGAAGUGCAAAAUUGAGUUAUAGUGUUGUAGGUGUGUGAGUGAUAUGGAGCCUUCACACGGAAAACAGGUGUUCAUUAGUGUUUCCAUCACCAUGCCUCCAAGAAUGGAAUGCUUCAAAGACUUUUUCUUCUUCUGAGAUCUUAAACCGGAAAAUCAGAGAGACUGACAGCAAAUGCAACAGCAUCCAUGUGCUUUCUUGAAAACUUCUUUUUCUUACCAACAAAAGGUGGGGAUCAUAAAUAUGGAAGAAAGCCAUACAGGCCAAAAGUAGAAGGGAAAAGUCUCUCUAGGGUAGUUGGUAUGGAGUUUUGGGGACCACAGAAGCCUUUCAAAUAUAACCCUGUUUUGAAUCUUCUCCCACAUAAAAUGCACACAUCUUUAUUUUUACAUACAAUUUCAAAGUUGCAAGAUCUAUUGGCUGUACCCCCCCAGAUACUUAGUUUAAAAAAAAUAAACAAGACAGCUAAAGACACUUGAGAGAUUAUUUGCAAUGGAUGACUCUUUGAAAAGUACAUCUGUUUUGAUAUUUAAUGUACUCCUGAAUACUUUCAAGCAUUAAAAACAUACAGGAUUUGUAAAAUUCAUUUGAAGACUCGGUAAAUUUGAAUAUAUGGGUUGUGGGGUCAGUGUUGUGGCAUAGUGGGUAAGACUGCCCACUGCCUGCAACACUGGCAUCCCAGUUUGUGUCCUCUGCUGCUCCACUUCCAAUCAAGCUCACUGCUGAUGUGCCUGGGAGAGCAGCAGAAGAUGGCCCAAGUGCCUCGGCCCCUACACCCUGUGGGAGACUUGGAAAAAGCUCUGAGCUCCUGGCUUUGGCCUGGUCCAUCCAUUUGGAGAGUGAACCAGUGGAUGGAAGAUCUCUCUCUGUUUCUCCCUCUAUCUGUGUAACUCUGCCUCUCAAAAAAUAAAUCUUUUAAAAAGA
Non-coding RNA from Oryctolagus cuniculus (rabbit), 1366 nucleotides. The record is from RefSeq and is a predicted model, not a curated record. Lineage: Eukaryota; Metazoa; Chordata; Mammalia; Lagomorpha; Leporidae.